This 469-nucleotide ribosomal RNA is filed under the name uncultured bacterium. Its description in RNAcentral is "bacterial SSU rRNA". It matches the Rfam family "Bacterial small subunit ribosomal RNA", at positions 34 to 498 of the family's 1533-position model. The record is from RNAcentral.
CGCUGGCGGCAGGCCUAACACAUGCAAGUCGAGCGGUAGAGAGGUGCUUGCACCUCUUGAGAGCGGCGGACGGGAGAGUAAUGCCUAGGAAUCUGCCUGGUAGUGGGGGAUAACGCUCGGAAACGGACGCUAAUACCGCAUACGUCCUACGGGAGAAAGCAGGGGACCUUCGGGCCUUGCGCUAUCAGAUGAGCCUAGGUCGGAUUAGCUAGUUGGUGGGGUAAUGGCUCACCAAGGCGACGAUCCGUAACUGGUCUGAGAGGAUGAUCAGUCACACUGGAACUGAGACACGGUCCAGACUCCUACGGGAGGCAGCAGUGGGGAAUAUUGGACAAUGGGCGAAAGCCUGAUCCAGCCAUGCCGCGUGUGUGAAGAAGGUCUUCGGAUUGUAAAGCACUUUAAGUUGGGAGGAAGGGCAUUAACCUAAUACGUUAGUGUUUUGACGUUACCGACAGAAUAAGCACCGGCU